This 312-nucleotide unclassified non-coding RNA is filed under the name air metagenome. Its description in RNAcentral is "partial contains small subunit ribosomal RNA, internal transcribed spacer 1, and 5.8S ribosomal RNA". The stretch from base 1 to 46 matches the Rfam family "Eukaryotic small subunit ribosomal RNA", at positions 1786 to 1831 of the family's 1831-position model. The record is from RNAcentral.
AAGUCGUAACAAGGUUUCCGUAGGUGAACCUGCGGAAGGAUCAUUAUUGAAUAAGCUUGGUUGGGUUGUUGCUGGCUCUUAGGGGCAUGUGCACGCCUAACACCAAUCUUCUUACCACCUGUGCACCUUUUGUAGACUUGGAUAUCUCUCGAGGAAACUCGGUAUGAGGACUGCUGUGCGUCAAAGCCGGCUUUCCUUACAUUUCCGGUCUAUGUCUUCAUAUACACCAUUUGCAUGUCUACGAAUGUUAUUAUCGGACUUGACUGUCCAAUAAACCUUAUACAACUUUCAACAACGGAUCUCUUGGCUCUC